GCGAAUCUCGAAAGCCUAUCUCAGUUCGGAUUGGAGGCUGAAACCCGCCUCCAUGAAGUUGGAUUCGCUAGUAAUCGCGCAUCAGCCAUGGCGCGGUGAAUACGUUCCCGGGCCUUGUACACACCGCCCGUCAAGCCAUGGGAGCUGGGGGUGCCUGAAGUUCGUGACCGCAAGGAUCGACCUAGGGCAAAACCGGUGACUGGGGCUAAGUCGUAACAAGGUAAC
This 225-nucleotide ribosomal RNA is filed under the name uncultured bacterium. RNAcentral's name for it is "partial 16S ribosomal RNA". It matches the Rfam family "Bacterial small subunit ribosomal RNA", at positions 1267 to 1500 of the family's 1533-position model. The record is from RNAcentral.